AUUAAGGUAGAGACGGAUAGCAAUCACGUGAUAGAUAGAAUCCGCAUAUUAGCACGUGCUGUUUUUCCGGAUUCCGCAACGCCGCCAAGUAAUAAUCUUCAUUUACACAUUAUUGUCUAUGCUACAAGAUGGCCGACGAAGCAGUCGAGAAAAUUUCCUCGUUUAAAAGACAAAGUUUCCAUACAUAUUUUAAUCUUGACGGUCCUCGAAAUUGAAGCACCUUAAUAAGAAUCGAAAUGAAAAUGAGACUGAAACCGACCAUGAACAUAAUUUUGGUGAAACUACUCCUUGUCCACUGCAGCACCACGUACGUGGGUGCCGGUAUCUGUGUCUGAUGUGGUUUUGAACGUAGACAUUAACUGAUUAAAGGCCAUGACCCUGCAGAUGUUAAUUGGUAUGAUGGAAGAAGUAAAAAUUUUGCAGAAGAAAUGUUUUGUUUGCAGUGUCCGUUUCAGAUACAUCAGGUGAAGCAAAAUAUGGACUAGGCUAAGGCAGUGUAUUCAGCAUUCUCUGUGGAAAUAAUGUGGCCAUUCAAAUCAAGUGUCAGCUGGAAAGAGGAAUAUCAAGGGUGCUUUUUACAUUAACUUCAAAGUAGCCAUUGGAAAAUUCAAGACAGAUCUGCUACAGUAACUGUACAUAAAGUAGCAUACAUGUGUGACAGGAAAGGAGGAAAAUGUAUGGCUGGACCGAGAAUCUAACCUGGGACCCCUGCAUCACUAGUCAGAUCUUAUGGACAUACAUGAUCCUUGGCUAUAUAAUCAAGGGUCAUAUGCAGUGUUACAAAAGAA
Saccostrea echinata is the source of this 788-nucleotide long non-coding RNA. RefSeq lists it as uncharacterized. The record is from RefSeq and is a predicted model, not a curated record. The transcript is spliced from 4 exons. Lineage: Eukaryota; Metazoa; Mollusca; Bivalvia; Ostreida; Ostreidae.